This 502-nucleotide ribosomal RNA is filed under the name uncultured Ascomycota. RNAcentral describes it as "partial 18S ribosomal RNA". The stretch from base 125 to 278 matches the Rfam family "5.8S ribosomal RNA". The record is from RNAcentral. Lineage: Eukaryota; Fungi; Ascomycota.
ACAUACUUAUCGUUGUUUCCUCGGACCGCCCCGGUGCCUUCGGGCCCGGACUCAGGGGCCCGCCGGGGGACCCAAACUCUUGUAUUUCUUUAGUAUCUUCUGAGUAAACAAGCUAAUAAAUUAAAACUUUCAACAACGGAUCUCUAGGUUCUGGCAUCGAUGAAGAACGCAACGAAAUGCGAUAAGUAAUGUGAAUUGCAAAAAUCCAAGAAUCAUCAAAUCUUUGAACGCACAUUGCGCCCGCCAGUAUUCUGGCGGGCAUGCCUGUUCGAGCGUCAUUUCAACCCUCAAGCCCCCGGGCUUGGUGUUGGGGCUCGGCCCGUCCCUAGCGGCGCGCCAUCCCCCAAAUCUAGUGGUGGUCACGCUGUACUCCUCUGCGUAGUAAUCUAACCUCUCAACGUGGACAAAGCGCGGCCACGCCAUUUAACCCCCAACUUCUGAAGGUUGACCUCGGAUCAGGUAGGAAUACCCGCUGAACUUAAGCAUAUCAAUAAGCGGAGGA